This 442-nucleotide ribosomal RNA is filed under the name uncultured bacterium. RNAcentral describes it as "partial 16S ribosomal RNA". It matches the Rfam family "Bacterial small subunit ribosomal RNA", at positions 338 to 795 of the family's 1533-position model. The record is from RNAcentral.
ACUACGGGUGGCAGCAGUAGGGAAUCUUUCACAAUGGGCGAAAGCCUGAUGGAGCAACGCCGCGUGCAGGAUGAAGGCCUUCGGGUUGUAAACUGCUUUUAUAAGCGAGAAAGAUGAUGGUAACUUAUGAAUAAGGACCGGCUAACAACGUGCCAGCAGCCGCGGGCAUACGUAGGACCCGAGCAUUAUCCGGAGUGACUGGGGGUAAAGAGUUGCGUAGGUGGCAUAAUAAGUAGCUAGUGAAAUCUGGUGGCUCAACCAUUCAGACUAUUAGCGAAACUGUUAAGCUCGAGACCGUUAGGGGUAACUGGAAUUUCUAGUGUAGGCGUGAAAUCCGUAGAUAUUAGGAAGAACACCAAUGGCGUAGGCAGGUUACUGGAACGGUUCUGACACUAAGGCACGAAAGCGUAGGGAGCAAACAGGAUUAGAUACCCCAGUAGUC